RNAcentral lists this ribosomal RNA (135 nucleotides) under uncultured bacterium. Its description in RNAcentral is "partial 16S ribosomal RNA". The record is from RNAcentral.
CACGAAGUUAGCCGGGGCUUAUUCUGCGGGUACCGUCAUUAUCGUCCCCGCCAAAAGAGCUUUACAAUCCGAAGACCUUCGUCACUCACGCGGCAUGGCUGGAUCAGGCUUGCGCCCAUUGUCCAAUAUUCCUUA